Long non-coding RNA from Mus musculus (house mouse), 1919 nucleotides. RefSeq annotates it as predicted gene, 41495. The record is from RefSeq and is a predicted model, not a curated record. The transcript has 2 exons. Lineage: Eukaryota; Metazoa; Chordata; Mammalia; Rodentia; Muridae.
AUGGAGUGCUGUCCUUGGAGGGGGUCAGCCAUUUCUAUCUUAUUCAGAGGGACUGUGACUGCCUUCAAGAGACAGGCGACAGGAUCCUACAGGUGACAUUCUCUGUCAGAUGCUCUGUUGCCUCCCUCCCUCCCUCUGCUCCCGGGACGCUCAGUUUUCCCACUUCACGGGCUCCUUUCCAGUUUCCCGGCCUCCCUCCACACUUAUCUGCACCUAAACACACACACACACUUAACAGUUAGAAGCUAGCAUCCGCACAGGAGAGAGAGCAUGAGGUUAACACCUAGAAGAAUUUCAAAUUUUAAACAGCAGUAUUGCCAGUCAAUAAACAGGCCGAUGAAAACUGGCAUGCAGUUUUCAAUAAAAUAAGAAACAGCCAAUAACUGCUUUUAAAAAGGGUUCAACAUUCUUAGCCACCAGAGAAAUGCAAACGAAAGCUGCUAGCCUUCUCUUUCUUCUAACUCCCUCCCGUGGGGAUGUAUUCAUUCUUAAACCCCUCAGCUUGCUUGCUGCUUAUCCCUGUGCUUCUGUCUAAUUCCUUGGUCUAGGACUCAGAGACCUAUGACCCCUCCAGAGGUGCAUGCUGGACACCUAUAAUUGUGGGCGUUAAAGUGUGUAAGCCAGCGCUGUAAACGCAGUAGUAAUCCCUGAACGGCCAGAUUCCCACUCUUACAAUUAUUCUGUUGUUUUUAAACAUAUAGUUAAACAUUUCUACACUAUGUGUCUAUUAGUGCGUGGGGAAUGAAUUUCUAAUCCUAACCAUUGAAUGUAUUCACUUACUGGGCACAUUUCCCAACAAGCUUCUUGCCAUCUGAGGCGAAGUGCUUUCUUUCCCUGUGUCUGUGAGAUGGGUAGAGGUAGGAGAGGGUGGGCAGUAAUAUUCCAUAGACAUAAAACACUUCAGGUGUUGGGACUGGAGAAAUGGCUCAAUAGUUAAGAGCCCUGUGGUACCUUCAGAGGAUCCAUGCUUGCCUUCACCCGUGUCGGGUGGCUCUCAACUCCCUGGGGAUCCAACACCCUCUUCAGACCUGCUCGGCUACUCACUCAUUCGCAUGCACAUAUGUAUGGAGACACACAUGCACACAAACAUACACACAAACACUCAGAUAAAUCCUCAGAAAAUCUCAGGCAGACUAGCUCAGUGGUUGAGGGUUUGUUUAACAUGUGGGCAGUCCAGGGUUCCAUUCUCAGCAACACACACACACACACACACACACACACACACACACACAGAGUCAUGUAGAUCUGUGGUAUCAGACUGGUCCAAUAAAGGGCAUUUUUUCUUUGCAUCCAGUCUCCUGUGGAAUCCCAGUGUCUGCAGGUUCCUAUUCUCAGAUUUAACCAACUGUAGAUUUAAAACCCGUGGAAGGGGGCGUGGGAUUGCAUUUAUACUGAAUAGAUAUUUGGUUGUUUUUGUUGUUGUUGUUCUUUUUUUUUUUUUUUUGCUUUGCUUUGCCACCAGGCUCUACAAAACCCAACAUUAACAACUAUUGAUGUUAUUCUACGCACUCUAAGGUCACCUGUGGGUGACUGAAAGCAUAUGGCUGGACAGAAGAGAUGGCUUAACAGUUAAGAGCACGUGCUGCUCUUCUAGAGGAUGGCGUUCAGUUCCCAGCGCCCACAUCAGAUUGCUCACAAUGGCUUCUAACUCCAAUUCCGGGGGACCUCCUGGCCUCUGUAGGCAUCCACACCUGUCAGGCUGUGGACUGUGUCUGCCUCAACACUGGGGUGCCUGAGCACCUCCGGCAAACCACUCAGGGGAGGCAGAACACAGUCCAUGAUGAGGUCCCAGACCAAGUUUUCCCAGGUCGCCACUGCCUUGGCACUGCAGAUGCAUCCUUGAGAACUUCGCUUGCUAACUUUCUCAUCACAAGGGACAGAACACCUUCCACUGUCAGAAUAAAAGAAUGCUCAUUGUG